RNAcentral lists this unclassified non-coding RNA (433 nucleotides) under uncultured Russula. RNAcentral describes it as "sequence contains ITS2". The stretch from base 1 to 154 matches the Rfam family "5.8S ribosomal RNA". The record is from RNAcentral. Lineage: Eukaryota; Fungi; Basidiomycota; Agaricomycetes; Russulales; Russulaceae.
AACUUUCAGCAACGGAUCUCUUGGCUCUCGCAUCGCUGAAGAACGCAGCGAAAUGCGAUACGUAAUGUGAAUUGCAGAAUUCAGUGAAUCAUCGAAUCUUUGAACGCACCUUGCGCCCCUUGGAAUUCCGAGGGGCACACCCGUUUGAGUGUCGUGAACAUCCUUCAACCUUUCUUGGUUUCUUAACCUGGGAAGGCUUGGACUUUGGGGGUCUUUCAUUGCUGGCCUCUUUGAAGCCAGCUCCUCCUAAAUGGAUUAGUGUGGUCUGCUUUGCCGAUCCUUGACGUGAUAAGAUGUUUCUACGUCUUGGGUUUCGCACUGUCGCUUUAGACCCCGCUUCUAACCGUCUUGCAUUCAAGACAGAGUUUUAAACCUUGACCUCAAAUCGGGUGAGACUACCCGCUGAACUUAAGCAUAUCAAUAAGCGGAGGCU